This 599-nucleotide ribosomal RNA is filed under the name Naganishia adeliensis. RNAcentral's name for it is "eukaryotic LSU rRNA". It matches the Rfam family "Eukaryotic large subunit ribosomal RNA", at positions 46 to 633 of the family's 3401-position model. The record is from RNAcentral. Lineage: Eukaryota; Fungi; Basidiomycota; Tremellomycetes; Filobasidiales; Filobasidiaceae.
AUAAGCGGAGGAAAAGAAACUAACAAGGAUUCCCCUAGUAACGGCGAGUGAAGCGGGAAGAGCUCAAAUUUGAAAUCUGGUAGCCUUCGGUUGCCCGAGUUGUAAUCUAGAGAAGUGUUUUCCGUGCCGGCCCAUGUACAAGUCCCUUGGAACAGGGCGUCAUAGAGGGUGAGAAUCCCGUCCUUGACAUGGACCCCCGGUGCUUUGUGAUACACUUUCAACGAGUCGAGUUGUUUGGGAAUGCAGCUCAAAAUGGGUGGUGAAUUCCAUCUAAAGCUAAAUAUUGGCGAGAGACCGAUAGCGAACAAGUACCGUGAGGGAAAGAUGAAAAGCACUUUGGAAAGAGAGUUAAACAGUACGUGAAAUUGUUGAAAGGGAAACGAUUGAAGUCAGUCAUGCUCUUAGGAUUCAGCCGUUCUGCGGUGUAUUUCCUUUGAGUGGGGUCAACAUCAGUUUUGAUCGAUGGAUAAAGGCACGAGGAAGGUAGCACUCUCGGGUGAACUUAUAGCCUCGCGUCAUAUACAUUGAUUGGGACUGAGGAACGCAGCAUGCCUUUAUGGCCGGGAUUCGUCCACGUACAUGCUUAGGAUGUGACAUAA